UUAAUUAGAUCAGCAGCCGAGAAGACUGAACGACGUCGUCGUCGCUCUUUCUUUCGACGCAAAGGUUAGGGUUAGGGUUAGGGUUUUAGCUCCGGUGAAAUGGCGAAGGAAGCAAAUCGAAAGGACGGCUUCUGCAUUUUUGAAGGAAAGUGAAAUAUGCAUUAAAUUUGACAUGAAAAAUGUCUGAUUCCUUGAGUAGUGGAAACUCAUCCUUUUUAAGAAGCCUACCUCAUUCUUUAAUUAGCAUUCAUUCCUUCAAUAAUGCCAGGUUUCUUUGCAGGACAGUGAAGCUGCUAUAGUUUCUUUGCGGACUUUAGAGGGACGGGUAACAACCUGAGAGAAUUGCUACAACAAGAUCCAGCUCUUGGUUGCCAAAUUAUGUCAAGAGUGGCGACAUUGUUUUUGGCAUCUAUUAAGUUUAACACAUGAUGUAAGUUUAUCCGUCAGCACGUGUCCACCAAUGUAUAUUUUUUAUAUUGUCGCGUAUUUUCUCUAUCAAUCCCUAGAUUUAGAUCUAACAACUCUACUCGAUGACCCCUCAUUUUAUUUUUAAGUUUUCUUUUUAACUUCUUUCCCUUUCGUGCUAGCAGGCAAGACUACUGUUUUAAUUGAAUACUAGUUCUAAACAUGUUUAUGUCAUCGGGGUUCAUGUCAUUGUACUAGCUCUGUGAAGAUUAGAUUAGCGCGUUAAGACAAAGAUCAACGAGCUUUGCGGCAGUUUAUAAAAAAAAUAGAAAACUUAAACAUGAUUGAAUUUAGUAGUAAUUACGAGUUCUUUAGCACUAGAAGCCACCUAGUACUGUGGCAUCGGUUUAACAUUAUCUUUAUUCUUAUAUAAUAUUUCUCUUGCAAUCUUGCUCUGCUAAUUUUUGUCCAGAAGGUUUGAAAUGUUGCUUCUAUGAAACUAGUGUUUUUAUCGGGUUAAUUUCACACACACCAAGAAAUUUGGCCUGUUUUCAGAUGACCUCCAAAAAGUUUGGAAAUGCCACUUAAAUCUUCUAAACAUUUUUAGAUAAUCCCCAAAAAGUUGAGGGUUAUCUGGAAGAAAAAAAAGAUUCAGAAAACAUCCAACAACCUUAUUUCCACCGAUUUACUAUUGAACUAGAUGUUAGUGAAAGUCGCGCAAGUUGGUUAGUCAUAAAUAAAUAUCAACAAGAUUAAAAACUUUGGGAGUAAAAUGCUUAUAAUUGAAGUUGACAAUCUACACUUUGUGUUGGGAAUUUAACGCCGAAAUCCCUAAUGCAACAGAAACGCAGUAUAGAGAACAAUACACAAGAUUUAACGAGGUUCGGCAACUGCCUACGUCCUCAGGAGCCACACAGUCAAUUUCUUAUUUAAUCUAACAAGAAAUUACAAAUUAAGAGCAAAUCUCUAAACUGAGAUUUCUCAGAUUAAACACUGUAGCUACAGUGUUAAUAUUAAAGGGAAUAAACCCUUUCAAUUUCUCUCACAAUAAAACCCCUCUUUUAUCCUUCUCUCUCUCUAAUCCUUUUCUAAUCUCCCCUCAAAACACCUGAGAGCUGGAGAUUAAAAGGAGUAAAAUCGCUGCUGCGAUUUCAGAGCCGAAGAUGGGAAAAAACGCCGCUGCGUUUUUGGGUCGCCGCCAGCCAGAGAGAAAUCGGAGGAAGGGGAAAAAGCACAAACCCUAGGGCUCGGGGGGGCUUCUUUUAUAGCCAAAAAUUUGACAGGCUGGUGUAGGUGUAAAUUUUGAUCUCCCGGAAACAGGGAGCUUCGUUUGUAUUGAUAAGAAGGCUUAUUACAAACUAAUAAAUCAAAUGUUUACA
Molecule: long non-coding RNA, 1784 nt
Organism: Asparagus officinalis (garden asparagus)
Lineage: Eukaryota; Viridiplantae; Streptophyta; Magnoliopsida; Asparagales; Asparagaceae
Exons: 6
Source: RefSeq, a predicted model, not a curated record